UCAUACUGAAACGCGACCCGGCCGCCGCGCCCCGCGCCCCACGGCGGGUUGGUCAACGACACCUUCUCGUAACUCAUGAGGCCCUGGUACUUGUGUAGCGCUAAAUUCAAUUUUUAAAGAGUUUUUUUCUCGAUUUUAGCCACCGUAGCCUAUGGAGACUAACAAGUAACGCUAAGCGGUAUUCGUAGGCAAUGGAUGUUCCUAUAUUAAGGGUGUCACAUGUGCGUUUCUGACUUAUGAUGCAAUUGUUCCUACAAUACAAUACGACCGCGGCGAGCUGUACUGAGGCCUACCGAGAGCAGACAAAUGCGAGCGGGUGGGCAGCGUACUCGAAUGCACGCGAUCACAGUCGCGGUACAGCCCACACUGCCGCCACCGUAUUCCCCCGUAUUUUAUGCUAAUGUGUGCGUGGCAGCGCGUGCGUACACGGCGUCCGGCGCGCACGCACACAUUCAAGCCGGCAGCGGCACAUUUCUAUGAAGAUUCACUACUGUUCUUGUACUGUGAUAAAGAUUGUCAAAGGACUGCCUCAUUUCAAACAUAGACAGAGAGAAUCAUACUAUUUUUGUCUUACACUAGCACUAGCACCAAAAGAAAAGGAUGAGUAUAGUUUAUUUGUUCUUAUUUACUGACAAAUUUGUAAAAUUUGAUUCCGAUGUACAAUUUUUCCUCUUGGGUGAAAAGAUACUCGAUAACAAAUAUGUGACGUUCCACGGCAAAAGGUAGCUUUACCCGUGGGACGUCACAUAUUACUUUGACAUUUAUGUGAAACAGCAAUGGAUAGCCGUAGCUACUUUAAGUUUUGUUCUGGAAGACUAAAUACCUAAUUAUAAUAUAGAGAAUACUCUGUUAAUA
Long non-coding RNA from Cydia fagiglandana, 855 nucleotides. RefSeq lists it as uncharacterized. The record is from RefSeq and is a predicted model, not a curated record. The transcript is spliced from 2 exons. Lineage: Eukaryota; Metazoa; Arthropoda; Insecta; Lepidoptera; Tortricidae.